AAAGGCCAAUCAAACCGGGAGAUAGCUGGUUCUCCCCGAAAUCUAUUUAGGUAGAGCCUUGAGCGGACACCUUCGGGGGUAGAGCACUGUUUCGGCUAGGGGUCCAUCCCGGAUUACCAACCCGAUGCAAACUACGAAUACCGAAGAGUGAUACUCAGGAGACACACGGCGGGUGCUAACGUCCGUCGUGGAGAGGGAAACAACCCAGACCGCCAGCUAAGGUCCCAAAGUCUAUAUUAAGUGGGAAACGAAGUGGGAAGGCUUAGACAGCUAGGAUGUUGGCUUAGAAGCAGCCAUCAUUUAAAGAAAGCGUAAUAGCUCACUAGUCGAGUCGGCCUGCGCGGAAGAUGUAACGGGGCUCAAAUAUAGCACCGAAGCUGCGGCAUCAGUAGCAAUACUGUUGGGUAGGGGAGCGUUCUGUAAGCGGAUGAAGAUGGCUCGAGAGGGCUGUUGGACGUAUCAGAAGUGCGAAUGCUGACAUAAGUAACGAUAAAACGGGUGAAAAACCCGUUCGCCGGAAGACCAAGGGUUCCUGUCCAACGUUAAUCGGGGCAGGGUGAGUCGGCCCCUAAGGCGAGGCUGAAAAGCGUAGUCGAUGGGAAACGGGUUAAUAUUCCCGUACUUGGAUAAACUGCGAUGUGGGGACGGAGCAGGUUAGGUUAUCGCACUGUUGGAUAUGUGCGUUUAAGUUGGUAGGUGAGAAGUUUAGGCAAAUCCGGACUUCUAUCACACUGAGAGAUGAUGACGAGGCUCUACGGAGCUGAAGUAACCGAUACCACACUUCCAGGAAAAGCCACUAAGCUUCAGGUUUAUCUAAACCGUACUGAAAACCGACACAGGUGGUCAGGUAGAGAAUACUCAGGCGCUUGAGAGAACUCGGGUGAAGGAACUAGGCAAAAUAGCACCGUAACUUCGGGAGAAGGUGCGCCGGCGUAGAUUGUAGUCCCUAGCGGGCGAAGGUUGAACCGGUCGAAGAUACCAGCUGGCUGCAACUGUUUAUUAAAAACACAGCACUCUGCAAACACGAAAGUGGACGUAUAGGGUGUGAUGCCUGCCCGGUGCUGGAAGGUUAAUUGAUGGUGUAAUCGAAAGAGAAGCUCCUGAUCGAAGCCCCAGUAAACGGCGGCCGUAACUAUAACGGUCCUAAGGUAGCGAAAUUCCUUGUCGGGUAAGUUCCGACCUGCACGAAUGGCAUAAUGAUGGCCAGGCUGUCUCCACCCGAGACUCAGUGAAAUUGAAAUCGCCGUGAAGAUGCGGUGUACCCGCGGCUAGACGGAAAGACCCCGUGAACCUUUACUAUAGCUUGACACUGAACAUUGAAUUUUGAUGUGUAGGAUAGGUGGGAGACUAUGAAGAUGAUACGCCAGUAUUGUUGGAGUCGUCCUUGAAAUACCACCCUUUAACGUUUGAUGUUCUAACGAAGAUUACGAAACGUGGUCUCGGACAGUGUCUGGUGGGUAGUUUGACUGGGGCGGUCUCCUCCCAAAGAGUAACGGAGGAGCACGAAGGUUUGCUAAUGACGGUCGGACAUCGUCAGGUUAGUGCAAUGGUAUAAGCAAGCUUAACUGCGAGACAGACAAGUCGAGCAGGUACGAAAGUAGGUCAUAGUGAUCCGGUGGUUCUGAAUGGAAGGGCCAUCG
This 1640-nucleotide ribosomal RNA is filed under the name human gut metagenome. RNAcentral describes it as "bacterial LSU rRNA". It matches the Rfam family "Bacterial large subunit ribosomal RNA", at positions 824 to 2447 of the family's 2925-position model. The record is from RNAcentral.